CGGCGAUUCCAAAAAUGGAAAAAAAGAACACCAUCCGUUUCAGCAGCUAAAGUUUUUUAGCCAUUUUGAUUUUCUCGUACACAAGACCAAAAGGAGACCCAAAAAUCGAGAUGGCCAUUCUUGAAUUCUCAAAACACACAUACGACAAAGAAUAUAAGCUUUUCUGAAGAACAAAAACUGAUAUGGCCAUUCUUCAAUUUUGUACAUAGACACUAUUCUGAUCUACACCGAAAUCUGAGGCAUCCGUCGAGGUCGCCGUCGAGGUAUUUAUAAUUUUUACCCCUUUGAUCUUCUUAUGAUUUUUUAGUAUUAGUAAUUGUAUUGUUGAAGAACUGAAGUCGUAUUUGGACCGUUGGAACUGUCUACCUGCUUGUUCAGUGUAUAAAUGGAUCUAUAUUUUGUUGAGAUACAUGACAAUUUUGUGUUCCACCUGCUCUACUAUUAUGCGAUUGAUCACUUUUCUAAUGUUUGAGAAUUGGUUACUCUCGUGACACUUACGAAAGGUUGGUUGUUGCUUCUUGGCAGUGAUUCGUUGGUUUGAUAAAAUAAUUGCG
RNAcentral lists this long non-coding RNA (554 nucleotides) under Nicotiana tabacum (common tobacco). RNAcentral's name for it is "long non-coding RNA (NTAB_LNC002143)". The record is from RNAcentral. Lineage: Eukaryota; Viridiplantae; Streptophyta; Magnoliopsida; Solanales; Solanaceae.